Molecule: ribosomal RNA, 840 nt
Filed under: uncultured bacterium
Lineage: Bacteria
Description: bacterial SSU rRNA
Rfam family: Bacterial small subunit ribosomal RNA
Source: RNAcentral
AUGAACGCUGGCGGCGUGCCUAACACAUGCAAGUCGGAUGUGCCGCAAGGUGCAUGGCAGACGGGUGAGUAACGCGUAGGGAAUCUACCUUUUUGUGGGGAAUAACGCUCCGAAAGGAGUGGUAAUACCGCAUGAGACCACGAGCUGGGAUGCUUGUGGUGAAACCUGGGGACCGCAAGGCCUGGGGCAAGAAGAGGAUCCUGCGUCUGAUUAGCUAGUUGGCGGGGUAAUGGCCCACCAAGGCGACGAUCAGUAGCCGGCCUGAGAGGGUGAUCGGCCACACUGGAACUGAGACACGGUCCAGACUCCUACGGGAGGCAGCAGUGGGGAAUUUUGCGCAAUGGACGAGAGUCUGACGCAGCAACGCCGCGUGGGUGAUGAAGGUCUUCGGACUGUAAAACCCUGUCGUCAGGGACGAAGGUGGCACGACUAAUAAUCGUGUUACUUGACGGUACCUGGAGAGGAAGCCCCGGCUAACUCUGUGCCAGCAGCCGCGGUAAUACAGAGGGGGCAAGCGUUAUUCGGAAUUAUUGGGCGUAAAGGGCGCGUAGGCGGUUUUUUAAGUCAGAUGUGUAAUCCCCGAGCUCAACUUGGGAACUGCAUCUGAGACUGGAAGGCUAGAGUACUGGAGAGGGUGGUGGAAUUCCUCGUGUAGCGGUGAAAUGCGUAGAGAUGAGGAGGAACACCAGUGGCGAAGGCGGCCACCUGGACAGUAACUGACGCUGAGGCGCGAAAGUGUGGGUAGCAAACAGGAUUAGAUACCCUGGUAGUCCACGCUGUAAACGAUGAACACUUGGUGUGGAGGGAGUUGACCCCUUCCGUGCCGGAGCUAACGCGUAA